RNAcentral lists this ribosomal RNA (430 nucleotides) under uncultured bacterium. RNAcentral's name for it is "bacterial SSU rRNA". It matches the Rfam family "Bacterial small subunit ribosomal RNA", at positions 373 to 793 of the family's 1533-position model. The record is from RNAcentral.
GGGCGCAAGCCUGAUGCAGCCAUGCCGCGUGUAUGAAGAAGGCCUUCGGGUUGUAAAGUACUUUCAGCAGUGAGGAAGGUGGAUAUGUUAAUAGCAUAUUCAUUUGACGUUAGCUGCAGAAGAAGCACCGGCUAACUCCGUGCCAGCAGCCGCGGUAAUACGGAGGGUGCGAGCGUUAAUCGGAAUUACUGGGCGUAAAGCGCAUGCAGGUGGUUUGUUAAGUCAGAUGUGAAAGCCCCGGGGCUCAACCUCGGAAUUGCAUUUGAAACUGGCAAACUAGAGUACUGUAGAGGGGGUAGAAUUUCAGGUGUAGCGGUGAAAUGCGUAGAGAUCUGAAGGAAUACCGGUGGCGAAGGCCGGCCCCCCUGGACAGAUACUGACACUCAGAUGCGAAAGCGUGGGGAGCAAACAGGAUUAGAUACCCUGGUAG